Molecule: ribosomal RNA, 118 nt
Rfam family: Bacterial small subunit ribosomal RNA
AGCCGGUGGGUUAACCGCAAGGAGAUAGCCGUCUAAGGUGGGGGCGAUGAUUGGGGUGAAGUCGUAACAAGGUAGCCGUAUCGGAAGGUGCGGCUGGAUCACCUCCUUUCUAAGGAGA